RNAcentral lists this ribosomal RNA (543 nucleotides) under Arsenophonus endosymbiont of Bemisia tabaci. RNAcentral describes it as "bacterial LSU rRNA". It matches the Rfam family "Bacterial large subunit ribosomal RNA", at positions 150 to 733 of the family's 2925-position model. Lineage: Bacteria; Pseudomonadati; Pseudomonadota; Gammaproteobacteria; Enterobacterales; Morganellaceae. The record is from RNAcentral.
CUCGUUUGAUGAAUUCAUAGUCAAACGAGGCAAACCGGGGAAACUGAAACAUCUCAGUACCCCGAGGAAAAGAAAUCAACCGAGAUUCCCCCAGUAGCGGCGAGCGAACCGGGAGCAGCCCAGAGUCAACAUCAAUAUUUACCGCAGGAGAAGGGUCUGGAAAGGCCGGCAAUAAAGGGUGAUAGCCCCGUAUCUGAAGCGGUAAGUGUUGUGAACUCGAAGAGUAGGGCGGGACACGUGUUAUCCUGUCUGAAUAUGGGGGGACCCAUCCUCCAAGGCUAAAUACUCCUGACUGACCGAUAGUGAACCAGUACCGUGAGGGAAAGGCGAAAAGAACCCCGGCGAGGGGAGUGAAAUAGAACCUAAAACCGUGUACGUACAAGCAGUGGGAGCACCCGAAAGGGUGUGACUGCGUACCUUUUGUAUAAUGGGUCAGCGACUUAUAUUCUGUAGCAAGGUUAACCGCAUAGGGGAGCCGUAGGGAAACCGAGUCUUAACUGGGCGUUAAGUUGCAGGGUAUAGACCCGAAACCCGGUGAUCUAG